CCAUAUGAGGUUUUCUAAAAACUGAUCGACAACCUGAAAAUCUUCCUCAGAUAAGUUCUUUCCUCUCAGAAAAUGGAGUUUUCCGAUUCUCUCAGUGGGAUUAUUUGGAUCAACGUCCGUCUCUGCCUCCCUCUUACUUUCCUACUUAUCGCUUUGUGUUGCCUGGUGCAGCUGGAUGGAGCUCCUGUCUCCUACUACAUGAACCUUCUGCUCUCUAAUCUGGUGCAGCUCAUCAUUCUGGUCGCUUUACCUCAACAUCCAGAUUAUCACUGGAAACAUCUGGACUCUGUUCACAUCUAUGCCUGCUGUGUUUUGGCUGCUCUCUACUUCAGGACGGUCAUAGUUCUGGAAAGGUACC
Long non-coding RNA from Gambusia affinis (western mosquitofish), 358 nucleotides. RefSeq lists it as uncharacterized. Lineage: Eukaryota; Metazoa; Chordata; Actinopteri; Cyprinodontiformes; Poeciliidae. The transcript is spliced from 3 exons. The record is from RefSeq and is a predicted model, not a curated record.